ACACACACACACACACACACACAUAUAUAUAUAUAUGUAUGAUAUAUAUGUGUGUGUGUGUUUGUGUGUGUUA
Molecule: microRNA precursor, 73 nt
Filed under: Podarcis lilfordi (Lilford's wall lizard)
Lineage: Eukaryota; Metazoa; Chordata; Lepidosauria; Squamata; Lacertidae
Source: RNAcentral